RNAcentral lists this ribosomal RNA (428 nucleotides) under uncultured archaeon. RNAcentral describes it as "bacterial SSU rRNA". It matches the Rfam family "Archaeal small subunit ribosomal RNA", at positions 474 to 903 of the family's 1478-position model. The record is from RNAcentral.
UACCAGCUCUCCGAGUGGUAGGGAUGAUUAUUGGGCUUAAAGCGUCCGUAGCUGGCUUAGCAAGUCUUCUGUUAAAUUCAGCGACCCAAUCAUUGAGCCGCGGGAGAUACUACUGGGCUAGGAGGCGGGAGAGGUCGACGGUACUUUCGGGGUAGGGGUGAAAUCCUAUAGUCCCGGGAGGACCACCAGUGGCGAAGGCUGUCGACUAGAACGCGCUCGACAGUGAGGGACGAAAGCUGGGGGAGCGAACCGGAUUAGAUACCCGGGUAGUCCCAGCUGUAAACUAUGCGGGCUAGGUGUUGGGGUGGCUACGGGCCACUUCAGCGCCGCAGGAAAGCCAUUAAGCCCGCCGCCUGGGGAGUACGGCCGCAAGGCUGAAACUUAAAGGAAUUGGCGGGGAGCACCACAAGGCGUGAAGCCUGCGGUUC